GACGAACGCUGGCGGCGCGCCUAACACAUGCAAGUCGAACGAGUGAGAGAGAGCUUGCUUUCUCGAGCGAGUGGCGAACGGGUGAGUAACGCGUGAGGAACCUGCCUCAAAGAGGGGGACAACAGUUGGAAACGACUGCUAAUACCGCAUAAGCCCACGGGUCGGCAUCGACCAGAGGGAAAAGGAGCAAUCCGCUUUGAGAUGGCCUCGCGUCCGAUUAGCUAGUUGGUGAGGUAACGGCCCACCAAGGCAACGAUCGGUAGCCGGACUGAGAGGUUGAACGGCCACAUUGGGACUGAGACACGGCCCAGACUCCUACGGGAGGCAGCAGUGGGGAAUAUUGCACAAUGGGGGAAACCCUGAUGCAGCGACGCCGCGUGGAGGAAGAAGGUCUUCGGAUUGUAAACUCCUGUUGUUGAGGAAGAUAAUGACGGUACUCAACAAGGAAGUGACGGCUAACUACGUGCCAGCAGCCGCGGUAAAACGUAGGUCACAAGCGUUGUCCGGAAUUACUGGGUGUAAAGGGAGCGCAGGCGGGAAGACAAGUUGGAAGUGAAAUCUAUGGGCUCAACCCAUAAACUGCUUUCAAAACUGUUUUUCUUGAGUAGUGCAGAGGUAGGCGGAAUUCCCGGUGUAGCGGUGGAAUGCGUAGAUAUCGGGAGGAACACCAGUGGCGAAGGCGGCCUACUGGGCACCAACUGACGCUGAGGCUCGAAAGUGUGGGUAGCAAACAGGAUUAGAUACCCUGGUAGUCCACACCGUAAACGAUGAUUACUAGGUGUGGGAGGAUUGACCCCUUCAGUGCCGCAGUUAACACAAUAAGUAAUCCACCCUGGGGAGUACGACCGCAAGGUUGAAACUCAAAGGAAUUGACGGGGGCCCGCACAAGCAGUGGAGUAUGUGGUUUAAUUUGACGCAACGCGAAGAACCUUACCAAGUCUUGACAUCCCUUGACGAACAUAGAAAUAUGUUUUCUCUUCGGAGCAAGGAGACAGGUGGUGCAUGGUUGUCGUCAGCUCGUGUCGUGAGAUGUUGGGUUAAGUCCCGCAACGAGCGCAACCCUUACUGUCAGUUACUACGCAAGAGGACUCUGGCAGGACUGCCGUUGACAAAACGGAGGAAGGUGGGGAUGACGUCAAAUCAUCAUGCCCUUUAUGACUUGGGCUACACACGUACUACAAUGGCGUUAAACAAAGAGAAGCAAGACCGCGAGGUGGAGCAAAACUCAGAAACAACGUCCCAGUUCGGACUGCAGGCUGCAACUCGCCUGCACGAAGUCGGAAUUGCUAGUAAUCGUGGAUCAGCAUGCCACGGUGAAUACGUUCCCGGGCCUUGUACA
This 1339-nucleotide ribosomal RNA is filed under the name uncultured bacterium. Its description in RNAcentral is "bacterial SSU rRNA". It matches the Rfam family "Bacterial small subunit ribosomal RNA", at positions 28 to 1387 of the family's 1533-position model. The record is from RNAcentral.